RNAcentral lists this ribosomal RNA (253 nucleotides) under uncultured bacterium. RNAcentral's name for it is "partial 16S ribosomal RNA". It matches the Rfam family "Bacterial small subunit ribosomal RNA", at positions 524 to 776 of the family's 1533-position model. The record is from RNAcentral.
UACGGGGGGGGUAAGCGUUGUUCGGAAUUACUGGGCGUAAAGGGCUCGUAGGCGGCCAACUAAGUCAGACGUGAAAUCCCUCAGCUUAACUGGGGAACUGCGUCUGAUACUGGAUGGCUUGAGUUUGGGAGAGGGAUGCGGAAUUCCAGGUGUAGCGGUGAAAUGCGUAGAUAUCUGGAGGAACACCGGUGGCGAAGGCGGCAUCCUGGACCAACACUGACACUGAGGAGCGAAAGCCAGGGGAGCAAACGGG